GGAGCGAAAGCGUGGGGAGCGAACAGGAUUAGAUACCCUGGUAGUCCACGCCGUAAACGAUGAGUGCUAAGUGUUAGGGGGUUUCCGCCCCUUAGUGCUGCAGCUAACGCAUUAAGCACUCCGCCUGGGGAGUACGGUCGCAAGACUGAAACUCAAAGGAAUUGACGGGGGCCCGCACAAGCCGUGGAGCAUGUGGUUUAAUUCGAAGCAACGCGAAGAACCUUACCAGGUCUUGACAUCCUCUGACAAUCCUAGAGAUAGGACGUCCCCUUCGGGGGCAGAGUGACAGGUGGUGCAUGGUUGUCGUCAGCUCGUGUCGUGAGAUGUUGGGUUAAGUCCCGCAACGAGCGCAACCCUUGAUCUUAGUUGCCAGCAUUCAGUUGGGCACUCUAAGGUGACUGCCGGUGACAAACCGGAGGAAGGUGGGGAUGACGUCAAAUCAUCAUGCCCCUUAUGACCUGGGCUACACACGUGCUACAAUGGACAGAACAAAGGGCAGCGAAACCGCGAGGUUAAGCCAAUCCCACAAAUCUGUUCUCAGUUCGGAUCGCAGUCUGCAACUCGACUGCGUGAAGCUGGAAUCGCUAGUAAUCGCGGAUC
This 600-nucleotide ribosomal RNA is filed under the name Bacillus subtilis. Its description in RNAcentral is "bacterial SSU rRNA". It matches the Rfam family "Bacterial small subunit ribosomal RNA", at positions 750 to 1350 of the family's 1533-position model. Lineage: Bacteria; Bacillati; Bacillota; Bacilli; Caryophanales; Bacillaceae. The record is from RNAcentral.